AUUGAACGCUGGCGGCAGGCCUAACACAUGCAAGUCGAGCGGAUGAAGGGAGCUUGCUCCUGGAUUCAGCGGCGGACGGGUGAGUAAUGCCUAGGAAUCUGCCUGGUAGUGGGGGAUAACGUCCGGAAACGGGCGCUAAUACCGCAUACGUCCUGAGGGAGAAAGUGGGGGAUCUUCGGACCUCACGCUAUCAGAUGAGCCUAGGUCAGAUUAGCUAGUUGGUGGGGUAAAGGCCUACCAAGGCGACGAUCCAUAACUGGUCUGAGAGGAUGAUCAGUCACACUGGAACUGAGACACGGUCCAGACUCCUACGGGAGGCAGCAGUGGGGAAUAUUGGACAAUGGGCGAAAGCCUGAUCCAGCCAUGCCGCGUGUGUGAAGAAGGUCUUCGGAUUGUAAAGCACUUUAAGUUGGGAGGAAGGGCAGUAAGUUAAUACCUUGCUGUUUUGACGUUACCAACAGAAUAAGCACCGGCUAACUUCGUG
RNAcentral lists this ribosomal RNA (484 nucleotides) under uncultured bacterium. RNAcentral describes it as "partial 16S ribosomal RNA". It matches the Rfam family "Bacterial small subunit ribosomal RNA", at positions 30 to 507 of the family's 1533-position model. The record is from RNAcentral.